GAUGAACGCUGGCGGCGUGCCUAAUACAUGCAAGUAGAACGCUGAAGGAGGAGCUUGCUCUUUCCGGAUGAGUUGCGAACGGGUGAGUAACGCGUAGGUAACCUGCCUGGUAGCGGGGGAUAACUAUUGGAAACGAUAGCUAAUACCGCAUAACAGUAGAUAUUGCAUGAUAUUUGCUUGAAAGGGGCAAUUGCUCCACUACCAGAUGGACCUGCGUUGUAUUAGCUAGUUGGUGAGGUAACGGCUCACCAAGGCGACGAUACAUAGCCGACCUGAGAGGGUGAUCGGCCACACUGGGACUGAGACACGGCCCAGACUCCUACGGGAGGCAGCAGUAGGGAAUCUUCGGCAAUGGACGGAAGUCUGACCGAGCAACGCCGCGUGAGUGAAGAAGGUUUUCGGAUCGUAAAGCUCUGUUGUAAGAGAAGAACGAGUGUGAGAGUGGAAAGUUCACACUGUGACGGUAGCUUACCAGAAAGAGACGGCUAACUACGUG
Molecule: ribosomal RNA, 496 nt
Filed under: uncultured bacterium
Lineage: Bacteria
Description: partial 16S ribosomal RNA
Rfam family: Bacterial small subunit ribosomal RNA
Source: RNAcentral